AGCAAGUUGUGGAUAAAGCAUAAUAUUCACACAUUCGCCGUUGGUACAUGCAUUUCCAUAUCCCUAUAUAUACAUGAUAUUAUGAUAAAGAGGGAUUCAUAGAGUGUGAGAGAGAUAAGGGAGAAGCAGAGGCGUUGAUACAAAGAACAAUGAGCAAGAGCCAGUGGAUACCAGCGCAGCAGCUUACUAUUCAUAAAGAGAAAGAAGGGUGGAUAUCGACUCAUCCUCCUGGCUGCAAAAGGUUCUCUCUCUCUUUCUCUCUAUCUCUCUCUCUCUCUCUCUCAGUAUGUUGAUUAUUACUUUUCCUUUACCUAAUGAAGUAACUAAGGAUAUCCCAUCUCUAACAAUAUAGAUGAGGUGGUUUAUGUACAUGUACAAACGCUUAUUCAUACAAUGAUAAACAAUCUGUAAAUUUCAUUGAAGAUGAUGAUGAGCAAUUUAUAUGUUGGUUGCA
This is a long non-coding RNA of Olea europaea var. sylvestris, 454 nucleotides long. RefSeq lists it as uncharacterized. The record is from RefSeq and is a predicted model, not a curated record. NCBI's taxonomy places the organism in Eukaryota, Viridiplantae, Streptophyta, Magnoliopsida, Lamiales, Oleaceae. The transcript has 2 exons.